AGACAAUACCAGGGGGCCACAGUGAAGAAAGGGGAAAUAUAGAGAGAGAAGGACGACCAUGGUCUUCUUUCUUCUUUUCUAAGAAAGCUCCAAAAUGCCAUAAAUACACAUACACAUAUUGACACACGCAUAACUCAUCUGAAACACACACACAAAGCGUGAGAUACACACUCAUCUGGUCGAGAGGGAGAGAUUGGGCAAUUGAGAGAUAGUGAGAGAAGAGAAAAGACGUGAGGCAGAGAGAUAGAGAAAAUGAAAGAGAAGGAAUACGAUAGAAAAGGUUGGCUGUUCUUUGGAUUUUUGGCAAAAUUUCUCGACAUAAUCGGCGUUUCCUUAUCAAAUCCGACCACCUGCAGACCCAAAAAUCCCUGAAUCCUCUUCGUCUCUUGUUCUCUGGCAAAAUAUCACUAAGAAUAUCAUCUUUGCUGACUGCCAGGAUUUACCAGUGCUCCGGCGAGUUCGAAUCUCAUCAGAAAUAGCAAAACCGAAGUCCAAAUAAUUAAACCCACAAUCGAGUCUGAGUGGAGUGGAGUUCGGGAUCAAAGUUAUUGAUUUGGGUUCGUGUUGAGGUUUUUGAUUUGAGUUUUCGAUGUGGACUCCAUCUCAUUCGAAUAAUAUUUGAGUUCGAAAGCGAUAUUAAGGUCCAUUUCUCAUCCCUUUCUUGAGUAAUUUUAAUUUUGAUAUUAAGGUCCAUUUCUCAUCCCUUUCUUGAGUAAUUUUAAUUUUGAUAUUAAGGUCCAUUUCUCAUCCCUUUCUUGAGUAAUUUUAAUUUUGAUAUUAAGGUCCAUUUCUCAUCCCUUUCUUGAGUAAUUUUAAUUUUGAUAUCUUGUUGGGUGAAUUGAUAAUGUGUGGAUCUUGCUUUGGUUGGUUUUGUGAUGUUUGAAUCAUGAAUUUUGGUUGCUGUUAGUUUUGAAUUAUGAAAGUUGAAUUAAUAGUCUAAGGAUUGGUUAAUCAAUGAUUGAGGAUUAAAGUCGGCUAUUGGGGGCAGAAAUUAAAAAUUGAUAGAAAGCAAGCAUUAGUUAUUUUAAUUCAUUGGGAUCGUUGAGUGUGAUAAUGGCAUGACAGAUCGAGCUGGGUAGGCAAAUUUAGGAAUGAUGUUUGAUUGAAUGCGUGGAAUACUGAAUGUGUUGAAUGCUUUUCUAGUUUAUCUCAUGAAAUUGAAAUUGUAUUCAUUUGCCGAGGAAUGCCCCAUAGAAAUUGUAUUUAUUCAUCGGAGAAUGCCCCGAGGUAUCUGUAUUGCUUUAUCCGGGGAAUGCUCCGAGAAAGUUGUACUUUAAAAUGGCGCACGGUCAAGGCCCUGAACAUCAGAUAGAUUAAAGCACGGGAGCAUAAUUACGAUUAGUGUAGGUUAGAAUAGGAUUUAUUUUUUUCGCAUGUUUUAUUUUGGACUGUAUAAUUGGACUGAAAAAUUAUAUUUUGGGAUUUGUUUGUUUGGAUUUGUUCGUUAUUUAAUUGUUGUGUGUUUUAUGUGGUUUAUGCAUUCAUAGUGCCAAAAUAGCCGAUACAAUCCACCAAGCGGCCGUGAUUAAACCACGGGAUUGAGGGGUGCCUAACACCUUCCCUUCGGUCAACAGAAUUCCUUAGCCGGAAUCUCUGUUCGCGGAUCAGUUUAGAAGAGUCAAAAAUAGUUUUGAAAAAAGGACUUUUCAAGGUGACUUGGCACACCUGAUUAUGCCAAGUGGCGACUCUGAGUUUUGAAUAUAAAAGUCCUUUUCGAAAUAAAUUUUCAUUUUGUCACUUUAAUAAUAAAAUCCUUUUGAAACUUAAAACACAUGAAUCUUUUUGGUUGUAAAAGGGGUAUGACAGCUAGGAUAUUCAUUACUAAUAUUCCCCUAAUGAGUUUUGUAGUUUACAAGAUUUUUUAUAAUUUAUUUUCAAAUAGUAUCAACGAUGAAUUUUUAUUACUUACUACAAAAAUUAUCUAUCGCUAACCUUUGUUUUUUCUUCUUGAAAUGAUGAUAACUAGGGAAUGUAAAUUAAGCCAAGUUAAUAAAUGGACCAAUUAAGUUAUGUGGGACUAAAAUUUAGGUCAUAAGACUCAUAACUCCAUCCAUCAAUUUGAACUAAUAUUAACGACUAUAUAUAAUAUAUUAAAAAUAUAUUUAAAAAAUUAAAAAGAAAUGAAGAUUUCUCAUGGAUCAAUUUAUAUAUUAGCGUAAUUUCAAAAAAUAUUAAAUUAAAUGAAUCAAAAUAAAUUAAAUUGAUAAUAAACAGAUUAUUAAAUCAUACAAACCUAAAUAAAUUAACCAAGUUAAUUUUAUGAUAAUUUUUACCACCCAAAAUAAACAUCUCUCUAUACUUGUGUAUUUUGUUAUAGACAUAUAAGAUCAUUAUGCAUAAGGCUUAUCUGAGCAUAAUGUGUUGCUAUCUUGAGAAUAUAUAAUGUUAACUGUUACAUUAUUUUCAACACAUAAACAUGAGCAUGGUAAAACUUAUAUUCACCCGGUGUAUACACCAACCCAAUACAUGCAUGCCAUGUGUUUGAAUUUAAAGUUCAUGUUACUUGGGGGUUUGGGCCACAGGUGACAAGAGUUUUAAAAUGAGGUGUAGGUGACACAAGUUUUAAUUAUUAGUUGGAGGUGACAAUUACUUUAUUAUGUAUUAAGAAAGUUGGAAAAGUUUGAAAAUAACCCACAAGUUUUUAAAUUUACACUUUGAUCCCAAUGUAUACCUAAAAUAACGAAAAAACAGAGGAAAAAAAAGACGCCUUUCUCUCUUCUCAUCCAUUGUUGUUUUCUCUCUCUUAGCGAUUUUUGUUGUUAAUUGUUUCUGUUUCUGUUGCUUUAUUCAUCAUCUUCUGCUUCAUUAUCAUCAUCUUCUACUUCAUUAUCAUCUUCAUCUUCUUCUUGUCGACCAUUUGUUGUUGUUGUUGUUGUUGUUGUUGGUACAACGUUACUGCUGCGAUCUGACCAAUUUCUUAGGUCAAAUUUUAUUUACUACAUCACUUUCCACUUUGGCAUUACUUAAUAGGUGACUUUGGUAAGUAAAAUUAUGAUUUUUAUUUGUAUUUAUCAUCUGGGUACACUUUUAUUUUUCCAAUAAUGGAUAGAACCCCGAUUAUGAAUCCAACAUAAGUACCCACAAUUUAGAACAAUCAUCUGUUGCAUCAGAUGAGUAAUCUAUUGCAUCAGAAGAUUUAUCCGUUGCAUCAGACUGUUUAUCUGUUGCAUCAUCGUAUUAUCCGUUGCAUCAGACUGUUUAUCUGUUGCAUCAUCGUAUUAUCCGUUGCAUCAGACUGUUUAUCUGUUGCAUCAUCGUAUUAUCUGUUGCAUCAGACGUAUUAUCUGUUGUAUCAGGAUGUUUAUCUGUUGCACCAGACUAAUUAUCUAUUGCAUCAGAAUGUUUAUCUAGUGCACCAGAUUAAUUAUCUGUUGCAACAAAUGAUUAAUCUGUUUGAAACAACACAAAUCAACCUCUGCCACAAACCCAACAGAUAAAUCUUGCUAUUGCUACUGGAUUCUAAAUUAUUCUUUUUUACGUCGAAUCGUCGACAUAUUUGUUGAGAAGAUAAUAGACAGAAUGAAAAUUAAAUAUGGAUUAAAACAUUAAAGAUCAAACAUAAUUUAUUUAUUAAGCAAAUAAAAAUGGAUAUAAUAGACUAAAAGAAAAAUAAUAGUCUAAUUAUUUAUUUAUUAAGCAAAUAAAAAUACAUAUAAUAGCCCUCCUCAGCCUGCGUAUCUCGCGGAGCAUUCUUGAUCUAACUCCUCCUAGUUCCCAUUUCUGAUCACGAACUUGAUUCUGAAGUUCAUUCACGGCGUCUUGCAGAAAAGCAAAGUUCCACACUGGGUCAGCCAUAAUCUUAUCUUCUAGUGUGUAAUAUGAAAGAUGAGAUGCAAUAAAUAAAUAGUGUAUUUGAAUGAACGAUUAAAAGGCGCGACAAUUCACCUCCAUACAUUAAUUACAUUUUUGAUUAAAUUAGGAAAAUAAAUAUUGUGAUAUAAGUCAUGACUUUUCAGAUUAUUAUUAUUAAUUAGUUCUUUCGAAGAACCAUUUUUAUUGAGUUGUGGCAAAAGAUUCUAUAUCUGUUGCAUCAGAUAACACAUCUGUGACAACAGAUAUAUUAUCUGUUGCAACAAAUAUAAAAUAUGUUGCAUCAGAUAACAUAUCUGGUGCAACAUAUAAUCUAACUGUUCACCUCCAUUUAUUGAUUACAUUUUUAAUUAAUUUGACAAGUAAUGAAUUAAUUAAACUAAGAAAUAUUAUGAUAAGUCAUGACUUUUCAGAUUAUUAUUAUUAAUUAGUUCUUUCCAAGAACUGCUUUUAUUGAGUUGUGACUCGAUAUAGGUUGCAUCAGAUAAAUCAUCUGUGACAACAGAUAUAUCAUCUGUUGCAACCAUAGUGAACCUGUUGCAUCAGAUAAUUUAAUUGUUAAUAAUUUAAAAAAUAAAUUCAAAAAUAAAAAUGGUGAAAAGUCACGAUCAGUUAUUAAAAUUGUGGUUAUAAAUUGUGUUUAUUAUUUAUUUCCUUAUUAUUUAUUUACGAAAUAUUUUUCUUAUUGAAUAAUCGGAACUGAAAAUCAUGUCUUUUCCUUUUCACCCUCUCAAUAACAACAAUAGCCCUUAUUUAUUAAUAACCGCCAGGUGCAACAUAUGAUCGAUAUGUCGUAGCAGAUUAACCUCUAACUGUUGACACAAAUAUCUGCUCAAUCCCUACCACCAACCGUCGACAUAUUGAGAACAAGGAAUAAACAAAAUGAUUAUUAUUAAAUACUAAAUAAGAAUUAAAAAUUCAAAGUCGACAACAAAAUGAAAUGAAUAUUCAUAGAUUUUUGAAUCCCUUGGGUAGAUUUGAUAGACAAAAGGAGGAAAAUAAUCGCUAAAAUAAAAAACAUUACCUAAUUAUUAUUACUACUACUAUUAUUAUUAGUGUCAAUCAUACAUCUUUCAUCCGGCAGCCUUGCUCCAAAGUAAGCCAAAUCUCUCUGGAGUUCAUCAAAUUGUCUUUGAAGUUCACGCAAGGACUCAAUAUGAAUAUUCUUGUAUGAAUCUGGAUCAUCCAUAUUUGUAAGGAGGGUCUUAUUUAUAAAUUAUUGUAUCGGAAAGAAAAGAAAAUUGCUUUAAAAUAAAUCUAACAAAUGGGUAAUUUGUUGCAAAAUAUAUUCUUUCUGUUAGAUAACUUACAACAUACUGACAAUCAUUUUGCAACAGAUGUAUAUAUCUAUUUGAUUUCUGCAAUAAGUUGAUCAAAUUUCAUAACAGAUAUCUCUAAUUGUUUGACAAUAUAAACAGAUGUGUCAUCUGUUGCAACAAGCUAGUCAUCUGUUUAUUCAAUUUAAGCCAUAGAUGGGCUAGGAAGAAUAAGGUACAUGCAGAUGGAUCCACUAUCAUAUGUAUGAGAUUUAAGUAUGUAUUACUGAUAAGAUUACCAGGACAACACAUACAAAGUACAAUAUUUUUGUGAAUGCAGUUUUUAACCGAUUAGGUAUUGAUCAUUCAAAUAAGAUCCUGCUUUGUACCAUUAAGUUUGAUGGGUUCGAAAUUGAUAAGGCUGAGGACCUCAUGAAGAUGGUGCAGAUGUCCUGUUACCAAUUAUUGACGGUUAGUGCUCGUGUUUAUACGUGUCAAGUUUUGAGAAGGGAUCAAUAUUUGUCAUCACUACAGAGAACCGAUAGCGAUUGGACUUAACUUUAAGUGUGCAUUGGACACUUAGAGGGGCCUCGAAGCCUCACACUGCAUCAAACAAGAACGAAAAACCAAUAUAGUUAUUGCCCUAGCCAAAAUUUAUAUGGUUGGGUUGCUCGCUCGAGGUGAUGAUUAUAUGCCAGAAGGUGUGGUAGGAGAAUGCUUUCGAGGAAAAAUGGGUGGUUGAUGGAGGACUAUAUUAUGUGAGAGCUAAUUAAAGAAGAGAAACAGGGUAGAAAGUAACUUCUAACGAAUUUGGCCAAUGGAGUUAUCUUAACAGAUGCGAAAUCUGAAUCAAGUGGAAAUAUAAAAGUGUAUCUGGUAAUGUAAUUUUGUCUGUUGUGUCUCUGAAAGAAAAACAAUGCAGAUAGACACUUUGCUAGGGAGCUAUAUGGUCGGGAUUAUCACCUAGGUAGAAAAUAAGAGAAGACCAACAAAGAAGCCUCACGGACAUCGAGGGUAGAAGUGAUGUUCAGCAAGUAUAGAAAACUUACGCCAACAACAACUGCAGUUAAAAUAAGUAAACUAAGCGAAGGCGGCAAUUUCUAAAUUUUAAAUUUCAUCCCAUCUUUUUGUUUGUGUUUCCGAUCAGGUCCACUGUCGUUGACCUGAUCAAAACCACAAACGUGAUUGAAAGGCAAAUAGAGUAUAAUUACUUCCUUAGCAAUAUGGAUUAAUUGAUUGUGUUUUCUUGCCUUAGCAUGCUUUCAACAUUCCUUGGAAAAUAUCAGAUUCUUGUUGUAGUAUGUGAAUCUCGAUAAUUUUCAAGCUUGCCUUCAGCUUAUUGAUUCUGUAUUCAAGAUAGUCGUUACUGUCUUCAAAGUUGGUGAGGAGUUCCUUCUCUCUUGUGAGCUCGAUCAGGAACACUACCUUCAGAACACUUUCUUCAGAAGACUUAAAGGAUACAUAAAGGGUCGUUGUGUUUGUUUUAGGUCAAAAUAUGUUGAUGCAUGUUGAAGAUGUGGUCCCAACAGUUGAACAACACACUUUUAUCGAGUGUUUCUCCAUACAUCUUGCUCAACCAAUUUGAUAAAUUAGUAAGCAUGGAGUUACAUAGUAUGUGGUUUAAACUGGAUCUACCAAGCCUAUCAAAUGUUACGUAACUCCGAGCUCAUUACCAUAUCAAAACAAUAUGCCCGAGUUAGUGCACAAAUAAAAAAAGCCCAAUCUGUCAGCCUUUCUGCUGAUCACUCUUCUCCAAUAUAGAUGACAAGAUAUCUGCUAUGCAAAAAUCUACACCAUUGCCAGACAUGCUUUCCUGGGAGCGAUUCUUCAGAAGACAUCAACAGAUAUCCUUCAGAAGAAUUGAUCCUAGGCAAACAUGUCUGGCGACGGUGUAGAAUUUUGCAUAGCAGAUAUCUUGUCAUCUAUAUUGGAGAAGAGCGAUUAGCAGAAAGGCUGAGAGAUUGAGCUUGUUUGAUUUGUGCACUAACUCAGUUAUAUUUUUUUAUAGUGUAAUAAGCUUAGAGUUACGUAAUGUUUGAUAGGCUUGGUAGAGCUGGUUUAGAUCACACACUAAGUAACUCCAUGCUUACUAAUUUAUCAAAUUGGUUGCGCAAGAUGCAUAGAGCAACGCUCGAUAAAAGUGUGUUGUUUAACUAUUAGGACCACAUCUUCAACGUGCAUCAACACAUUUUGACCUAAAACAAACACAGAGACCCUCCAUGUAUCCUUUAAGGCUUCCGAAGAAAGUGUUCUAAAGGGCUUCUAGAAUGCCACAACUUUGAAGGUAGUGUUCCUGAUCGAUCUCACAAGUGACGAGGAACUCCUUACCAACCUCGAAGAGGGCAACGACCAGCUUGAAUAUAGAAUCAACAAGCUGGAGGCAAGCUUGAAAAUUAUCGGGAUUCACAUACUACAGCAAGCAUCUAAUCUUCUCCAAGAAAUAUUGAAAGCAUAUCAAGGCAAGAAAAUACAAUCAAUUAUAACCAUAUUGCUAAGGAAGCAAUGAUACUCUAUUUUCCUUUCAAUCUCGUUUGUGGUUUCAAUCAGGUCAACGAUAGUGGACUUAAUCGGAAACACAAACAAGAAAGCAUGGGAUGAAAUUUAAAAUUCAAAAAUUUGUUGCCUUUACUUAGAUUCUUUAUUUUAACUUCAGUUGCUGUUGGCAUAAGUUUUCUAGACUUGCUGUACAUCAUUUCAACCCUCGAUGCCCGCGAUCCUUCUUUGUUGGCCUUCUCCUAUUUUCUAUCUAGGUGAUACUCCCAACCACGCAGCUCCCUAACAAAGUGUUCAGAUGCAUUGUUUAUCUUUCAGAGACAUAAUAGAUGAAAUUACAUUAACGGAUACACUUCAUAUUUGCACUUGAUUCAGAUCUCGCAUCUGUUAAGAUAAUUCCACCUGCCAAAUUUAUUAGAAGAUACUUUCUACCCUAUGUCUCUUCUUCAAUUAUCUCUCAGAUGAUAUAGUCUUCCAUCAACCACCCAUUUUCCUUCGAAAGCAUUCUUCUACCGCACAUUCUGGCAUAAAAUCAUCACCCCGAUAUAUUGGUUUUUCAUUCUUAUUAGAUGCAGUGCUAAGCUUUGAAGGCCCUCUAAGGGUCCAAAUCACCCUAAAAGUUAGUCCAAUCGCUAUUAAAUCUCUUUACAAUGACACAAAAACUACAUCCCUUCACAAUGGUUGAUAAAUAAACAUGAUCAACAACUGAUAUUAAAUCUUAACAGGCUAUCAGAACCAUAUUCAUGGUCCCUCAGCUUUAUCAGUUUGGACCUACCAAACUUAACUGUAAAAUUGCAGAUAUCUUGUUUGAACGAUCUAUGAAUAAUCAUUAAAAACAUCAUUCACAAAAUCAGUGCACUCUGUGUGUGUUUCCACAAUAACAUUAUCAGUAAUACAUACCUCCAACAUAUGAAAUAGUUCCAUCUACAAGAAGCUUAUUCCUCCGAUCCCAUCUUUACUGCAGCCUCUUGCUAUAGUCCAUCAAAAGUUGAUCAACUUUCAGUUCCUUAUAUCUACAAAAAAGAGGGGAAAAUUGAUGUCACAAAAAGAACAUUGUCAUCUGUUCCAUCAGAUGUGGAGCCUGUGGCAACAGAUGUGGAGUUUGUUGCAACAGAUGUAGAGUUUGUUGCAAUAGAUGUGGAGUCUGAUAAAAUACAUCAAACCAUCCUUACUGGUGAUUUUAUUUGUUCCAACAGUUUCUCCUUGCAACAUCAACAACAACAUAAACAUCAACAAAAAAAAACAACAACAUUUGUUCCAACAACAUCAUCAACAGCAAAGAAGCAAUAUCUUUUAUUCUAGAACCAUCAGCAACACCACACCACAAGUUCCAACAAUGCCAACCCCAUCAACAAUAAUGAAACAAAUAAAAUACAUACAAAAAAAUGAUACUGCCAACAAGGCUUUUAAACUUCUCCCAACAGAUAACUUUUUUCUCAUAUUGUAAUAAAAAUACUCAGAUUGUUUAUUCAAUACUUACAAGUUCCUUAAAAAAAAUUAAUAAAUAUGAUAUGGGUAAAUAGUAAUUAAAUAAAAAAAAUAAAUGCAAAUAACUUGCAAAGAAGAAGAGGAGAAUGAAAGAGCAAUAAUGAACCAUACCUUAAUAUCAAAAAGGAGAUCAAAAUAGAAAUUUAAGUCGAGGAAAGAUAUGGAUGGGUUUAGAUCCGAAAAGAACUUUAUGAGAAGAGAAGAGAAAAGAGAGAAAAAGGUUGUGACCCUAAAGAGGAGAGAAAAAAAAAUGAGAGUUGAACAAAAUAAAUUGCAGCUGAAAGAAGAGAUGAGAUAAUUUCUAUAGAUGUAUUAUGUACAUAGAUGUGGUGGUUUUCAAUAUUCAUUAAUUUCAUUAAUAAUUUGAGGGGCAUGAGGAAGACUAAGACUACUAACAUUGAAAAGACUAGCUAAGACUGCUCAAUGAACUCACUUUUGAGAUAUCCAAGAAAUAUUUUUUACCGUCUUUAGUAGUAAGUACUACUAUUUGAUAUUAUCUACUCGGACCAGAAGCUUCUUGCUUUAAAAUUAAAAGAGAAAAAAAGAUUUUCAAACAGAUAUGUCAUCUGUUGCAACAUAUAUAAAUAUCUGUUUAGAAAUCCAAACAGCUUAGUCAUCUGUUAUAACAGAUAUAAAUAUCUAUUUAAAAAUCCCAACAACUUAGUCAUCUGUGACAAUGGAUGAAAAUGUUCAUUUGAUAAUUAAUAAAAUCAGAUAUGUCAUCUGUUAAAAUAGAUAUAAAUAUAUCUUUGAAAAUUUCCAACAUCUCAGUCAUCUGUCACAACAGAUGCAAAUAUCUAUUUGAUAAUUAAAUCAGAUAUGUCAUUUGUUGCAAUAUAUAUGUACCUGUUUGAAAAUUUUCAACAGUUUAGUCGUUUGUUGCAACAAAUUUUAUUGCAAUUGACUUAGGUGGAACUAGGGAUGAAUGAAUGGGUUUGCAGAGUCAACUACAAAUUUAAUCGAUUCUUUACAAUUGCAUGGUGUUGGUAUUGCUUUCAUCCCGAUCCGAAUCAUCGAUCGAUCACUCUGAGUUGAAAUGAGUUCUCAUCAACUCAAUGUUAGGAUAGUGAUAGUACCUAAGAUGAUUUAGGUGGAACUAGGGAUGAAUGAAUGAGCUCGCAGAGUCAACUACAAAUCCAAUUGAGUCUUUGCAAUUGAAUAGUGUUGGUAUUGCGUUCAUACCUACCCAAGUCAUUGAUCGAUCACUCUGAGUUGAAAUGAGUUCUCAUCAACUCAAUGUUAGGAUAGUUAUAGUACCUAAGUUGAUUAAGGAGGAACUAGGGAUGAAUGAAUGAGCUUACUGUCACGACCCAAAUCAGGGCUGGGCCGUGACGAGAAUUUCAAACCAUUGAGGCCCAAAACACCCCUAUCUAUCUGGUAAUCAUGCACCUAAUUCAUAUGAUCAAAGAAAUGCGGAAAAAAACACAAUAAUUCGGAAACAUGGUCAUAAAUAUGAAAAGAGACAAUAAUGGAGAGAUAAUGUUCCCUCAACAUCAAUUAUCCUCUGAACAACUGUCUACGAAAAUCUCUAACAAAUAACUGAAAUAAUGUCUAUCUGAAAACUGGGACAAGGCCCCUAGUAGACCCAAAAACUGAAUAUAAGAUAAAAGGACUGCAGGACAUAAGACCUUCCAAAAAAUAGAAGGCUCACCACUUGUCUCUACAGCUCUGUUUGAAAGUUCUACUGAUUCUCUUGACCCCUAGACUGGGCAUCUGAACCUGAGAGGUUGGAGAGGGGAGGGGGUCAGCACAAAAGUACUGGCACGCAGAGAUAUCAAAACAAAACAUAAUAUUUUUACAAAGUAUAGUUGAGAGCCAUUAUAAAGCAAUUUCGUAUCAAAUCAUUUGAAAGCACAUGGGUGUAAUGCAAUAGUUUUUUUCUCAACAAUAAUGAAAUGCAACUGAGCUAGGUGGAAUACCCUACAUAAUUUACACCAACUGUCAAACCUCGGUUGCCGCCGAGAUUAGAGUAUAAGUGAGGGAGAGACACACAAGACCACGAAGCAUGGUGUCUCGACCCNNNNNNNNNNNNNNNNNNNNNNNNNNNNNNNNNNNNNNNNNNNNNNNNNNNNNNNNNNNNNNNNNNNNNNNNNNNNNNNNNNNNNNNNNNNNNNNNNNNNNNNNNNNNNNNNNNNNNNNNNNNNNNNNNNNNNNNNNNNNNNNNNNNNNNNNNNNNNNNNNNNNNNNNNNNNNNNNNNNNNNNNNNNNNNNNNNNNNNNNNNNNNNNNNNNNNNNNNNNNNNNNNNNNNNNNNNNNNNNNNNNNNNNNNNNNNNNNNNNNNNNNNNNNNNNNNNNNNNNNNNNNNNNNNNNNNNNNNNNNNNNNNNNNNNNNNNNNNNNNNNNNNNNNNNNNNNNNNNNNNNNNNNNNNNNNNNNNNNNNNNNNNNNNNNNNNNNNNNNNNNNNNNNNNNNNNNGGGUAUCAAGACAUUAUCAUGGGAAUUUGAAAGCAAUUUAUCAUUCAUAUUUAUCAAACUUCCAUGGAAAAUCUCAAAUCACAUAUGCAUGGUUUCAACCAUUGAAGUAUAUAGGCAAACAAUUCCCAUGACAUAAAGAAAACGACUUAAAAAUCGUAUUGAAAGCAAGAUAUUAGCAUUUGAUUGAAAACCCCCAUUUAAAACCAUGCAUGUUCAUAAAAACUACACCCAUGAGAUUUUUGGAUAACCCCACGUACCUUUAUUUCCAAGGAUAAUAGGUGUUUCUUGAAGCUUGCGGAUUGAUGAAUCCAAAUAUGUAAUUAUCUUUGAAAACCUAAGGUCAAAUCUUGAACUAUUUGGGUUUUUAUUUUGAAACCCUAAGGAGAAUCUUGAGCAAUUUUGAUGAAAGAAUAUGUAUUUUGGGAUCGUUGGAACUAAAUCUCGUGUUUCAGGGCUAAGUAAGGGUGAAAAAGGACCACUUUAUUCUCAACACGGAGUGUUUAAAUCACCAGAAUUCCUUACAUAGGCGCCGCCCGUCCCGUUGCCUAUGUUCACAUAGGCACCGCCUAGGAUAUCGCCUAUGUUUGCAUAGGCGCCACCUAGGCUAUCGCCUAUGUUUUCCAGUGGCUAUGGGCAAUUGGUUAGGCGACGCUUAUCACUUUGAAGGGCCAUAACUUUUUGCUCGGGUGUUGGAUUUUUGCCUAAUUGGUAUCGUUGGAAAGCUAACUUGAAUACCUAUCAUUUGACACAUAGUAGGCUUCAUAAUUUGACAUAUACAGAGAGUUAUGGUCGAUGGAAGCUGACACACUUUACAACAUCUACUAAAACUUAGUCGAUCGAAAUAGUUCCAACUCGUCCUUGAGUUGAAGGACCUCUAUGGUCUAAAUUCAAGCUUGAGCGGAUUCACAUGCUACCCAAUAAUUAACAUGCCAUAUUGGCAUAGGAUUUUAUGGAUUUGGGAUUAGCAACGCAUCGAAAUCAUGGUCUAUAUUGUAGCCCGAAUUACGGGGCGUUACAUUAUCCCCCCUUAGGAUCAUUCAUCCCCGAAUGAUGAAGCGGGACACAGAUAGACACGAUUUCAAGCAUAAUAAUGGACUAGGAAAGAUACGAUAGGAAUAGUACCUUCUGUCUCCUCCUUUAUCGAAGCAAACAAAUUGGGAUAUCUAAUUUACAUGUCAUCUUCUGACUCCCAAGUUGCUUCUUCGACUUUCUGAUUCCUCCAUAGUACCUUUACUGAGGCUAUCUCUUUGCUCCUCAUCUUUCAAACUUGGCAAUCUAAAAUUUCAAAAGGCUCUUCUUCGUAAGACAAGGAAUCUGUCACUUUGAUACCCUCUACUGGCAAUACCCUAGAAUGAUCUCCAAUGCAUUUCUUCAACAUGAAUACAUCGAAUACUAGAUGAACGAAACCCAAACUUGCAGGCAAUUCUAACUCAUAUACAAUUGUACCAAUCUUUUUCAAAAUCUGAUGUGGCCCUACAUAAAGAGGGCUCAAUUUACCUCUUUUUCCAAACCGCAUAACUCCUUUUAUAGGAGAAACCUUUAGAAACACCCAAUCACUAAUUUCAAACUCUAGUUCUCUUCUCCAAACAUUGGCAUAGGACUUCUGAUGAAUCUGAGCAGUCUUGAGUCGUUCUCUAAUGAUUUUUACUUUCUCCAUCGCCUGAUGAACAAGAUCAGGCCCAUACAACUGAGUCUCACCCAUUUUAUACCAUCCUAUAGGAUACCUACAUCUUCUCCCAUACAAGGCCUCAAAAGGAGCCAUCUUAAUGCUAGCAUGGUAGCUAUUAUUCUAGGCGAAUUCAACCAGUGGCAGGUGAUCUACCCAACUACUAUUGAAAUCGAUGACGCAUGCCCUCAAAAUAUCUUUGAGGGUCUGAAUGGUACGCUCAGCUUGCCCAUCCGUCUGAGGGUGGAAAGCUGUGCUCAAAUUUACUUGUGUACCUAAACCCUUCUGAAAGGAUCUCCAAAACUGAGAUGAAAACUGUGUACCUCUGUCGGAUAUAAUGGACACUGGUGCCCCAUGUAAUCAAACUAUCUCCUCAAUGUAAAUCUUAGCAUAAACCUCUCCCAAACAAUUAGUCCUCACAGGCAAAAAGUGAGCUAACUUGGUCAACCGAUCUACAAUCACCCUUAUAGAAUCAUACUGGUUUCGGGAUCUCAGAAGUCCUGUAAUAAAGUCCAUAUUUAUCAUCUCCCACUUCCAUAAAGGUAGGGCUAUCUCUUGGGAAGUACGACCUGGCCUCAUGUGUUCUACUUUUACUUGCUGACAGUUCAAACACUUGGACACAAAAUCAGCUACAUCAUGUUUCAUGUUAUUCCACCAAUACAAGGUUUUUAGAUCAUGGUACAUCUUAGUAGAGCCUGGGUGAAUGACAUACCUCGAAGUGUGCACCUCAUUAAGGAUUCUUUCUCGUAGACCAUCGAUAUUCGGAAUGCACAACCUACCCUGAAAUCUCAGAAUACCAUCGCCACCAAUUUCAAAUGACAUAACCUUUUUUUGACCCAUAUCUUUCUUGAUUUGCAUCAAGAUGGGAUCUUCAACCUGAUUCUCCUUAACUUCAGCACAAAGAGAUGGCUUAGCUAACUCAUGAACAAUCACCCCUCCAUCUUCGAAAUCUAUGAGUCGCACCCCCAGAUUUGCAAGGCGGUGAAUAUCCUUCACCAUCUCUUUCUUUCCUUCUUCUACAUGAGAAAGNNNNNNNNNNNNNNNNNNNNNNNNNNNNNNNNNNNNNNNNNNNNNNNNNNNNNNNNNNNNNNNNNNNNNNNNNNNNNNNNNNNNNNNNNNNNNNNNNNNNNNNNNNNNNNNNNNNNNNNNNNNNNNNNNNNNNNNNNNNNNNNNNNNNNNNNNNNNNNNNNNNNNNNNNNNNNNNNNNNNNNNNNNAAGUCAUAAGUGGGGUAAUUGCGCUCAUGAACCUUUAACUGCCUAGAUGCAUAAGCUAUCACCUUACCAUGCUGCAUCAAUACACAACCAAGUCCCACACGGGAUGCAUCACAAUAAACCAUAAAAUCAUCUACACACUCGGGAAAGGCCAAAGUUGGAGCAGUAGUCAGCUUGUCCUUCAAUUUCUCAAAACUAUUUUCACACAAGUCAGACCACGCAAACUUCAUCUUUUUCUGAUUUAGUUUAGUAAGCGGAGCAAAUAUGGAAGAAAAACUCUCUAUGACCUUCUGUAAUACCCCGCAAAACCCAAGAAGCUCCGAAUAUCGGUUGGAUUUAUGGGUCUGGGCCAUUUUCUCAUUGCUUCAACUUUCUGGGGAUCCACUCUUAUCCCAUCACUAGACACAAUAUGCCCUAGGAAGGCAAUAGCAUCUAACCAGAAUUCACAAUUAGAAAAUUUGGCAUACAGCUGAUGAUCCUUAAGGGUCUGAAGGAUAAUUCGGAGGUGAUUGGCGUGAUCCUCUUUACUCUUAGAAUAGAUCAGAAUAUCAUCAAUAAAUACAAUGAUGAACAAGUCAAGAAACAAACAAAACACUCUAUUCAUAAGAUCCAUGAAGGCUGCAGGGGCAUUAGUCAACCCGAAGGACAUGACUAGAAAUUUGUAGUGACCAUAGCGGGUUGGGAAGGCUGUCUUAGGUAUGUCUGACUCCCUAACUUUCAACUAAUUAUAACCCGAACGAAGGUCUAUUUUUGAAAAAAACUUGGCACCCUGAAGUUGGUCAAAAAGGUUGUCAAUCCUAGGAAGAGGAUAUUUAUUUUUAAUCGUGACCUUAUUCAGCUGACGGUAGUCUAUGCACAUCCGAAGGGACCCAUCCUUCUUUCGCACGAAGAGCACGGGUGCACCCCAUGGGGAAACACUAGGAUGAAUAAAACCUUUGUCUAGGAGGUCUGCAAGCUGUUCCUUUAACUUCUUUAGUUCCACAGGAGCUAUUCUAUAUAGCGGAAUAGAAAUAGGACGAAUGUCUGGCAACACAUCAAUGCCAAAAUUUAUCUCCCUAUCAGGGAGUAUCCCUGGGAGAUCUUCGGGAAAGACUUCUGGGAAUUCAUUCACUACAGGGACUGACUGUAGAGGAAGGUUUCCAACUUUUGAAUCUUUUACUCGGAUUAGAUGAUACAUACAACCUUUGGAGAUAAGCUUUUGGGCUCGAAGAUAAGAGAGAAAGUGACAUCUAGGUUCCACAGAACUCCCUUCCCAAACAACUGGUGUCUCAUUCAGGAAAGAAAAAGUGACCUUUCGGGUUUUGCAAUCAAGGGUGGCAUAACACGAAUGGAGCCAGUCCAUACCAAGGAUGGUAUCAAAGUCUAUCAUAUCCAGUUCUAUAAGGCCUGCCACAGUUUUCCUACCAUGAAUAGACACGACACAAUUUCUAUAUACCCUUCUAGAAAUAACAGAAUCACCUACCGGAGUAGAAACAGAGAAGGGUUCUACAAUAACUUCGGGCUCAAACCCGAAACCAACAGCCACAUAAGGGGACACAUAAGAUAAUAUAGACCUGGGAUCAAGCAAGACAUAAACAUCACGAGAAAAGAUUUAUAACAUACCAGUGAUAACAUCCGGUGAAGCUUCCGCCUCCUGGUGGAUAGUCAAAGAAUAUAACCGGUUGCGAUCGCUUUCGGCAGCUGAAGGGGAACCCUUAGGGAAAGGAGCUGUGGAGGCGGUUUGGGACUUAGCCCCCCUCCUCCCCCCUGCAUUUACUCCAGCAGAUGGAUAAUCUCUUUGAAGGAGACCCACUUUGACAUAAGUAUAGUAGUUUCUUCCCUCAAACCAGCACUUCCCUGGUGAUUCCUUCCGCAAACCCCACACCAUAGACGAGUACGAUAUUGUUGGGCCACACUGCCCUGAGACUGUGUACCUAGAGCUUUGGACCCAUGAGGAAUCUAAAAUUUAUGAGUUUGUCGGUUUGUCGGUGGUCUAGGUGCUGGGGCGCUGGCCGCUGACUGUGCAUUAUUCCAAAACUUCUUCUUCUUCAACCACUUAUUAGCCCAGUUAACACUCUGCGGCUGACUCUGGUGCUGGUCUGCAGAUUUAGCUCUCUUAGCCUGUCUAUCUUUCACUCUAGAUUCAGCAAUCUUUUUUUUCUUCCCUUCCACUUGAUGCAUAUAAACGGUCAGUCGAGCAAAGUCUAACUCCUUAUUCAACAUAGCCCCCUGGCACUCAAGUACCAGGUCAUCAGCAAGGACAGAUGCAAACUUCCUCAUUCGGGCCCUCAUAUUACUAGUCAACUCUGGUGCAUAGCGGGCUAGUUUAUUAAACUUCAAAGUGUACUCCUGGACACUCACACUUCCCUGUUUCAGAUUCAUAAACUCUUCCGCUUUGGCCUCACUCAACUCCAGAGGAAAGAAUCGAUGAAGGAAGGCUUCCACAAAUUUGCCCCAAACUGUGGGCUCAGCACUUUCACCUUUUUUAUCUUCCCAGUCAGCAUACCACUGACUCGCAAUGUCCUUGAGAUAAUAGGUUGCUAGCUCCACCCCUUCAACUUUAUCCACAUGCAUCACCUUAAAGAUCUUUUCCAUCUCAUCCACGAACUCCUAUGGAUCUUCCUCCACCUUGGUGCCAGUGAACUUAGGUAGGUUCAUCUUCAUUAAAUGUCCGACUCUAGUAGCCUCAAAUGUAACAGAUGCAUACCCAACAUCUUCCAAUCAUUGAGCUUGGUUGGCUACCAACUGUGUCAAUAUAUGAAUAGACCGUCUGAAUUCUGCAUUUGAAAUAUCCCCCUGAGCAGUUGGGGGACGGUUGACAUUAGUCUGUGGAGCCCGAGGUGGACUGGUCGGGACUGGAGGGACUCCCGGAGUAGGGACAAAUUUUGGAGUGUGAGCCCUAUUAUAGGUUCGCAUCGCAUGGGUGGGACGGACCUCAUAUGCCUGAGCAUUCUAAUCGACGAUACGACGUGGAGGCAUAACUAUGUUUCUGAAACACAAGUGAUCAUUGAUUAGGGGACAGUUUAGACUCUGAAGCACGAACUAAAUCACAAAAAAGGGAAACAUUUCCUAAAUGCCUAGCAGCCUCCUGCUUAUAAGUGUGGCGCGCUACACACCCAUAAAUAAAAUUCUACCCAACGCAAUUUCCCAGACACGCUGGGACUAUGAACCAUGCUUUGAUACCAAGUUUGUCAUGACCCAAACCAGGGCCUGACCGUGAUGAGCAUUUCGAACCAUUGAGGCCUGAAACACCCCUAUCUGUCUGGUAAUCAUGCACCUAUUUCAUAUGAUCAAAGAAAUGCGGAAAAAAAUACAAUAAUUCAGAAACAUGGUCAUAAAUAUGAAUAGAGACAAUAAUGGGGAGAUAAUAUUCCCUCAACAUCAAUUAUUCUCUGAACAACUAUCUGUGAAAAUCUCUAACAAAUGAAUGAAACAAUGUCUAUCUGAAAAAUAGGACAAGGCCCCCAGUAGACCCAAAAACUGCAUAUAAGAUAAAAGGACUGCAGGACAUAAAACCUUCCAAAACAUAGAACGCUCACCACGUGUCUGUACAGCUCGGUCUGAAAGUUCUACUGAUUCUCUUGACCCCUAGACUGGACCUCUAAACCUGAGAGGUUGGAGAGGGAAGGGGGUCAGCACAAAAGUACUGGCAUUGAGAGAUAUCAAAACAAAACAUAAUAUUUUUACAAAGCAUAGUAGAGAGCCAUUAUAAAGCAAUUUCGUAUUAAAUCAUUUGAAAGCACAUGGUGUAAUGCAAUAGUUUUUUUCUUAACAAUAAUGAAAUGCAACUGAGCUAGGGGGAAUACCCUACAUAAUUUACACCAACUGUCAAACCUCGGUUACCGCCGAGAUUAGAGAAUAAGUAAGAGAGAGACACAUAAGACCACGAAGCAUGGUGUCUCGACCCAAAUCAAAUAUGGUAGUGCACGAGACCACAAAGCAUGGCUACUGACCAUAAUCCCAAUUUGGAAUAAUAUAAUAUUAGGUACACAAGACCACAAAGCAUGAUACCAAGUUCCCGAGUUGGCAAACACGGUUUCCAGCGUAGAAUCAAAUGACUCAUGCUUUCUUUAGGCAACCACCUAUCUCAUUUAAAAUCAAUGCAUUCAAAUUUCAUCUUAUUCAAUCAUAUGUCGUAUUCUGUAGGGUAUCGUCAUACCUGACUUGCAAGUCAUCAAUAUCACAUCCACAUAUGCAUAAUCAUGUAAAAAACCAAGGUACUUCAUCAUUUAUAAGUGGUGAACAAUAUUUAUUUCAAAUUCAUGCUCUCUUUUAUUGAUCACAAUAUAAUAUGGAGUGUCGAAACAUUAUCAUGGGAAUUUGAAAACAAUUUAUCAUUCAUAUUUAUCAAACUUCCAUAGAAAAUCUCAAAUCACAUAUGCAUGGUUUCAACCAUUGAAGUAUAUAGGCAAACAAUUCCCAUGACAUAAAGAAAACGACUUAAAAAUCGUAUUAAAAGCAAGAUAUUAGUAUUUGAUUGAAAACCCCCAUUUAAAACCAUGCAUGUUCAUAAAAACUACACCCAUGAGAUUUUUGGAUAACCCCACGUACCUCUAUUUCCAAGGAUAAUAGGUGUUUCUUGAAGCUUGCGGAUUGAUGAAUCCAAAUAUGUAAUUAUCUUUGAAAACCUAAGGUCAAAUCUUGAACUAUUUGGGUUUUUAUUUUGAAACCCUAAAGAGAAUCUUGAGCACUUUUGAUGAAAGAAUAUGUAUUUUGGGGUCCUUGGAACUAAAUCUCGUGUUUUAGGGCUAAGUAAGGGUGGAAAAGGACCACUUUGUCCUCAACACGGAGUGCUAAAAUCACCAGAAUUCGUACAUAGGCGCCGCCCAUCCCGUUGCCUAUGUUCACAUAGGCACCGCCUAGGCUAUCGCCUAUGUUUGCAUAGGCGCUUCCUAGGCUAUCGCCUAUGUUUGCAUAGGCGCUUCCUAGGCUAUCGCCUAUGUUUGCAUAGGCGCCGCCUAGGCUAUCGCCUAUGUUUGCAUAGGCGCUUCCUAGGCUAUCGCCUAUGUUUGCAUAGGCGCCGCCUAGGCUAUCGCCUAUGUUUGCAUAGGCGCCGCCUAAGCUAUUGCCUAUGUUUUCCAGUAGCCAUGGGUGAUUGGUUAGGCGAUGCUUAUCACUUUGAAGGGCCAUAACUUUUUGCUCGGGUGUUGGAUUUUUGCCAAAUUGGUAUCGUUGGAAAGAUAACUCGAAUACCUAUCAUUUGACACAUAGUAGGCUUCCUAUUUCAAUAUGUAUAGAGUGUUAUGGUCAAUGGAAACUGACACACUUUACAACAUCUACUAAAACUUAGUCAAUAGAAAUAGUUCCAACUCUUCCUUGAGUUGAAGGACCUCUAUGGUCUGAAUUCAAGCUUGAGCGGAUUCACAUGCUACCCAAUAAUUAACAUGCCGUAUUGGCAUAGAAUUUUAUGGCUUCAGGAUUAGGAAUGCAUCGAAAUCAUGGUCUAUAUUGUAGCUCGAAUUGUGGGGCGUUACACUCGCAGGGUCAACUAUAAAUCCAAUCGUGUCUUUGCAAUUACAUGGUGUUGGUAUUGUGUUCAUCCUAACCCCGAGUCGUCGAUCGAUCACUCUGAGUUGAAAUGAGUUCUCAUCAACUCAAUGUUAGGAUAGUGAUAGUGCCUAAGUUGAUUUAGGUGGAACUAGGUAUGAAUGAAUGAGCUCGCAGGGUGAACUACAAAUCCAAUUGAGUCUUUACAAUUGCAUAGCGCUAGUAUUGCGUUCAUCCCAACCUGAGUCCGUCAAUCGAUCACUCUGAGUUGAAAUGAGUUCUCAUCAACUCAAUGUUAGGAUAGUAAUAGUACCUAAGUUGAUUUAGGUGGAACUAGGUAUGAAUGAAUGAGCUCGCAGGGUGAACUACAAAUCCAAUUGAGUCUUUACAAUUGCAUGGCAUUGGUAUUGCGUUCAUCCCGACCCGAGUCAUCGAUCAUUCACUUUGAGUUGAAAUGAGUUCUCAUCAACUCAAUGUUUUGAAAACUAUAUCUUUUAAAAUUUUUAAAAUUAAUUAAGAUCAAUUCGGACCAAAUUAGCAAUUUCAAAACUUGUCAUUCUUUUCCAAAAUUACAAAUCAACCCAUACAAAUCAUCUAUUUGCGCAAAAAACUUUUCAUUUCAAAUCUUAAGUACUCGCUCUUCUCUCUCUCUCUCGGGGUGUUCUCUCCCUCUCAACAAUACAAACAACAACUACUCAAAAUAUUGCUCAACCCUUCAAAACAGGUCAAUUUUUUUUCCAUUUACGACUACAUAUAGUUAUUUUUUUCGACUUCAUUCACAAUUCUAUCCAUUAUUUUCUCUAUUUUCGCAUGUAACAGAGUUCGAAAAGAGUUCUACAUUUGUUUUUUAUUCUAAAAAAUAGGGCUUUUUAGUUAAUGAUAAAAAAGAAAACUUUUAGUUGUAUUAUCUUCGAGAAUGGGUUAACAAUCUUGAGUUUUGAUGCUAAAAAAGUAGGAAGAACCCGAGAAAAUCCUAGUUUUUCUCUCAGUCUUUUGUUAACUGUCGUGGUAUUGUUGGAUGGUGUUUGUGGUGUUGGUGGUGGUUGUUGUUAGUGGUGUUGGUAUUUGUAUUUUUUGGCGGUGGUGACGGUGGUCUUGGUGUUGGUAUUGGUGGCAUUGGUUGUGGUGGUGGUGGUUCAUCUGUUGCAACGGGUGGAAGAUCUGUUGGGAGAUAUUAAAUAGGUCUUUAAACAGAUUCACUAUCUGUUCCAACUGAUGAGUUAUCCGUUGGAGUAUUUUCUUGUAAUGUGGCAUAGAAUAAUUUAUUAAAAUUUCUCCACCUGUUGCAACAAGUGGAAUAUAUGUGGGGAGAUAUUAAAUAGGUCUUCAAACAGAUUUGGGUUCCCCAUCUGUUCCAACUGAUGGGUUAUCCGUUGGAGUAUUUUUUUUGUUAUGUGGUAAGAAUAAUUUAUUGAAAUUUGUCUCACCUUUUUUAAAAAAAUUAUGCAGACAUCAAAUGCAAUGUAUUUUUGUUUUUCUUUUAUUUGUAGUUAAAAGAUGUCUCCCAAAAGAAAAGAAACAGAAAGUGGAGAAAGUGGAUCAACUUUCAAUCACCAAAUGAAAAAGGUUAAAGUACAGAUAGAUUCGGAGGAACUUCUAGAACAAUCUCAGUCAGGGCAAAAUAAAGUCGAGGAAACUGAUAACUCCUCCUCACCAAUGGGUCGUGAAAGCGAUCGUUGUCAAUAUAAAACCCAACUAGGUUGGUGUCGAAUCCCACAGGGAAUAGGGUGUGAACUUCGAUUUGUUUACGAAAGAUUUUACUGGUAGUUUACUGUUUUUGAAUGAUGGGUGUUUAAGUUCACGGUGUGUUAAAUAUCACUUUCAAUACUUCAGUGUUUGUAAUCAAGAUAAAUGGGAAACCAGGGCUAUAUUCACC
This 21681-nucleotide long non-coding RNA is filed under the name Capsicum annuum. Its description in RNAcentral is "long non-coding RNA (CANN_LNC013256)". The record is from RNAcentral. Lineage: Eukaryota; Viridiplantae; Streptophyta; Magnoliopsida; Solanales; Solanaceae.